This 76-nucleotide transfer RNA is filed under the name Actinomyces naeslundii. Its description in RNAcentral is "tRNA-Arg". It matches the Rfam family "tRNA". Rfam says of the family: Transfer RNA (tRNA) molecules are approximately 80 nucleotides in length. Lineage: Bacteria; Bacillati; Actinomycetota; Actinomycetes; Actinomycetales; Actinomycetaceae. The record is from RNAcentral.
GCCCCGGUAGCUCAGUGGAUAGAGCGUCUGCCUCCGGAGCAGGAAGUCGCAGGUUCGAAUCCUGUCCGGGGCACCG